RNAcentral lists this ribosomal RNA (451 nucleotides) under uncultured bacterium. RNAcentral's name for it is "partial 16S ribosomal RNA". It matches the Rfam family "Bacterial small subunit ribosomal RNA", at positions 29 to 523 of the family's 1533-position model. The record is from RNAcentral.
AGCGAACGCUGGCGGCAGGCUUAACACAUGCAAGUCGAGCGGGCAUAGCAAUAUGUCAGCGGCAGACGGGUGAGUAACGCGUGGGAACGUACCUUUUGGUUCGGAACAACUGAGGGAAACUUCAGCUAACACCGGAUAAGCCCUUACGGGGAAAGAUUUAUCGCCGAAAGAUCGGCCCGCGUCUGAUUAGCUAGUUGGUGAGGUAAUGGCUCACCAAGGCGACGAUCAGUAGCUGGUCUGAGAGGAUGAUCAGCCACAUUGGGACUGAGACACGGCCCAAACUCCUACGGGAGGCAGCAGUGGGGAAUAUUGGACAAUGGGCGCAAGCCUGAUCCAGCCAUGCCGCGUGAGUGAUGAAGGCCCUAGGGUUGUAAAGCUCUUUUGUGCGGGAAGAUAAUGACGGUACCGCAAGAAUAAGCCCCGGCUAACUUCGUGCCAGCCGCCGCAGUAA